ACCGGCCUGUUUAGCACAACUGUGCUGGGAGGCUCCUCCAGUGCCCCCAACCUCCAGGACUACGCCCGCAGCCAUGGCAAAAAGUUUGCCAGCAGCCUGACAUACAAAGACGAGCUCUUGUCUAUGCCAGCCGUAAAACGAUUUUCUGUGUCGUUUGCAAAGCAUCCGACUAAUGGCCUUGCACAGAAACUUCUGAAAAGGUU
This is a long non-coding RNA of Merops nubicus (carmine bee-eater), 203 nucleotides long. RefSeq lists it as uncharacterized. Lineage: Eukaryota; Metazoa; Chordata; Aves; Coraciiformes; Meropidae. The record is from RefSeq and is a predicted model, not a curated record. The transcript has 3 exons.